This 245-nucleotide ribosomal RNA is filed under the name uncultured bacterium. Its description in RNAcentral is "partial 16S ribosomal RNA". It matches the Rfam family "Bacterial small subunit ribosomal RNA", at positions 524 to 768 of the family's 1533-position model. The record is from RNAcentral.
UACGUAGGGAGCAAGCGUUGUUCGGAAUCACUGGGCGUAAAGGGAGCGUAGGUGGGGAGAUAAGUUAGGAGUUAAAUAUAUAGGCUUAACCUGUAAUCUGCUCUUAAGACUGUCUUUCUUGAGUAUUGGAGAGGGAAACGGAAUUCCAGGUGUAGCGGUGGAAUGCGUAGAUAUCUGGAAGAACACCAGUUGCGAAGGCGGUUUCCUGGCCAAAUACUGACACUGAGGCUCGAAAGCUAGGGGAG